UCCUUGGUGAUUCAUAAUAACUUAACGAAUCGCAUGGCCUUGCGCCGGCGAUGGUUCAUUCAAAUUUCUGCCCUAUCAACUUUCGAUGGUAGGAUAGUGGCCUACCAUGGUCUUAACGGGUAACGGGGAAUUAUGGGUUCGAUUCCGGAGAGGGAGCCUGAGAAACGGCUACCACAUCCAAGGAAGGCAGCAGGCGCGCAAAUUACCCAAUCCCGAUCCGGGGAGGUAGUGACAAUAAAUACUGAUACGGGGCUCUUUCGGGUCUCGUAAUUGGAAUGAGUACAAUCUAAAUCCCUUAACGAGGAACAAUUGGAGGGCAAGUCUGGUGCCAGCAGCCGCGGUAAUUCCAGCUCCAAUAGCGUAUAUUAAAGUUGUUGCCGUUAAAAAGCUCGUAGUUGAACCUUGGACCUGGCUGAUCUGUCCUCCUAAUCGAGCGCACGGAUUCGGUCGGGUCUUUCCUUCUGGGGAGCCUCAUGCCCUUCGCUGGGUGUGUUGGGGAACCAGGACUUUUACCUUGAAAAAAUUAGAGUGUUCAAAGCAGGCCUUUGCUCGAAUACGUUAGCAUGGAAUAAUAGAAUAGGACGUCGGUUCUAUUUUGUUGGUUUCUAGGACCGCUGUAAUGAUUAAUAGGGACAGUCGGGGGCGUCAGUAUUCAAUUGUCAGAGGUGAAAUUCUUGGAUUUAUUGAAGACUAACUACUGCGAAAGCAUUCGCCAAGGAUGUUUUCAUUAAUCAGUGAACGAAAGUUAGGGGAUCGAAGACGAUCAGAUACCGUCGUAGUCUUAACCAUAAACUAUGCCGACUAGGGAUCGGACGGUGGUUUUUUUAUGCCCCGUUCGGCACCUUACGAGAAAUCAAAGUUUUUGGGCUCGGGGGGGAGUAUGGUCGCA
RNAcentral lists this ribosomal RNA (889 nucleotides) under uncultured Chaetothyriales. RNAcentral describes it as "SSU rRNA". It matches the Rfam family "Eukaryotic small subunit ribosomal RNA", at positions 240 to 1133 of the family's 1831-position model. The record is from RNAcentral. Lineage: Eukaryota; Fungi; Ascomycota; Eurotiomycetes; Chaetothyriales.